UUCAGGACAUCCAGGCAGCCACACCAGUGCAACUGAAGACACUCAGGAAAGAGGACUUCCAGAGCUGCUUCAGAGUAUGGCAAGAACAAUGGGCUCCAGGCUAACCAUGAGAAAAACAGCAGACAAGUCUCAACUCCAGGACAGCUGCAAAACACCUGACCAGCGCUCCUCGAAACUGUCCAAAACAAGGAAAGUCUGAGAAACUGUCAGAAUCAAGCCUUGGCUAGCCUCGAAUUUGUGGCAGUCCUCCUGCCUCAACCUCCUGAGUGCUGGGAUUAGAGGGGACAGAGGACCGGCCCUCCAUGAGAAGUGCAUCUCCCCUCACUGUGUGUGCCCCGGGGCCAAACAUCUAAUUCGAGGCAUCUGACGUUGGCUCAUGCAGAUACGGAAUAACCGCUUUCCUAAGGAAGAAGCAGGAGGGUAAGACCUCCAAAUCGGAGUUCUUGCUUCAUUUAUUUUUCUGGUAUGUUGAGAAAUUUGUGCCCAGCUGCAUUUAUUUAUAACAAACCAGAAUGAGAAGUCCUGUGUCGUCUUAUUUGUUUAUUGCUGAAACAAAAAAAUCUAUAAGUAUUGUCAAAGAAAGAACAGACUGAAAUUUCACUAUGACUGGGUUUAAAUGGAACCCAAAAUCUUGAGUAAAACUUUAAUCACAAAAUGAGUUUAUGAAAUGCGUGUGUGUUUGGCUGUGUGUCUAUCAUUGUUUGUGAAUGUAGCAUGUGUAUAUAGUAGAUGUUGAUGUACAAAGCAUGUGUUCAUGCUGAAUAGAUGUGACUGGAGUGUGUGCGGGUCUAGUGUGUGCAUGUGGUAUGCAGUGGGUGUUCGUAAACCACAAGAGUGCAUGUUUGUGUUCAGCAUGGUGUGUGCAAUCUGCAUGCUGUAUGUAGUAAACAGAAAAGGUGGUACAGUGUGUGUGUGUGUGUGGGACGUGUGUGCACAGUCCAUGUGUACAUGGCCCAUGACAUGUGAAUUCUGGGUACGCAUGUGGUGUCCUUGCUCUGACCCACUGGCCUUGAGCAGGCCUGGGAAUGACACAAAGUAGUGAAGCAGCUUCCUGGAGGACCAUGCAAGGAAUGAGAGUGAAGAGCCCUGUAACAUUUUCAGGCCUUACUCUUCCAGGAGGAAAUCAGGAAUUUCUGGAGUCUGCUUUACACACCCUGCAAAACCCAAACUAGCAGAAUGACUGCAGUGUGGUGGAAACCCCACUGCCAGCUCAUGAAGCCCAAUUGAAAAGCUUGUAGUUUCCGAG
Molecule: long non-coding RNA, 1246 nt
Filed under: Heterocephalus glaber (naked mole-rat)
Lineage: Eukaryota; Metazoa; Chordata; Mammalia; Rodentia; Bathyergidae
Description: lncRNA (ENSHGLG00100050734.1)
Source: RNAcentral